This 393-nucleotide ribosomal RNA is filed under the name uncultured bacterium. Its description in RNAcentral is "bacterial SSU rRNA". It matches the Rfam family "Bacterial small subunit ribosomal RNA", at positions 28 to 416 of the family's 1533-position model. The record is from RNAcentral.
GACAAACGCUGGCGGCGUGCUUAACACAUGCAAGUCGAACGGUAUACCUACGGGUAUAUAGUGGCGGACGGGUGAGUAACACGUAGUCAACCUACCCUAAAGUGGGGGAAUAACCCCUCGAAGAGGAGCUAUACCGCAUACGCUCUCCCGUCGAUAGCGAGAGAGGAAACGAUAGCUGUGACACGCUAUGGGCGUUUAGGAUGGGACUGCGGCGGAUUAGCUAGAUGGUGGGGUAACGGCCACCAUGGCGACGAUCCGUAGCUGGUCUGAGAGGACGACCAGCCACACUGGGACUGAGGACACGGCCCAGACUCCUACGGGAGGGCAGCAGUGAGGAAUAUUCCACAAUGGGCGCAAGCCUGAUGGAGCGACGCCGCGUGCGGGAUGACGGCU